AUUGAACGCUGGCGGUAGGCUUAACACAUGCAAGUCGAGCGAGCGGCGGAUGGGUGCGUAAUGUCUGGGAAACUGCCUGAUGGAGGGGGAUAACUACUGGAAACGGUAGCUAAUACCGCAUACCAUUAGCCGUGCCCAGAUGGGAUUAGCUCGUAGGUGGGGUAAUGGCUCACCUAGGCGACGAUCCCUAGCUGGUCUGAGAGAAUGACCAGCCACACUGGAACUAGGACACGGUCCAGACUCCUACGGGAGGCAGCAGUGGGGAAUAUUGCACAAUGGGCGCAAGCCUGAUACAGCCAUGCCGCGUGUGUGAAGAAGGCCUUCGGGUUGUAAAGCACUUUCAGCGAGGAGGCGUUACUCGCAGAAGAAGCACCGGCUAACUCCGUGCCAGCAGCCGCGGUAAUAC
This 406-nucleotide ribosomal RNA is filed under the name uncultured bacterium. RNAcentral describes it as "partial 16S ribosomal RNA". It matches the Rfam family "Bacterial small subunit ribosomal RNA", at positions 30 to 526 of the family's 1533-position model. The record is from RNAcentral.